This 233-nucleotide ribosomal RNA is filed under the name uncultured soil bacterium. RNAcentral's name for it is "partial 16S ribosomal RNA". It matches the Rfam family "Bacterial small subunit ribosomal RNA", at positions 26 to 260 of the family's 1533-position model. The record is from RNAcentral.
AGAUUGAACGCUAGCGGGAUGCUUUACACAUGCAAGUCGAACGGCAGCGCGGACUUCGGUCUGGCGGCGAGUGGCGAACGGGUGAGUAAUAUAUCGGAACGUGCCCAGUAGCGGGGGAUAACUACGCGAAAGCGUGGCUAAUACCGCAUACGCCCGUACGGGGGAAAGGGGGGGAUCGCAAGACCUCUCACUAUUGGAGCGGCCGAUAUCAGAUUAGCUAGUUGGUGAGGUAA